RNAcentral lists this ribosomal RNA (460 nucleotides) under uncultured bacterium. Its description in RNAcentral is "partial 16S ribosomal RNA". It matches the Rfam family "Bacterial small subunit ribosomal RNA", at positions 338 to 795 of the family's 1533-position model. The record is from RNAcentral.
CCUACGGGUGGCAGCAGUGAGGAAUAUUGGUCAAUGGGCGUAAGCCUGAACCAGCCAAGUCGCGUGCGGGAUGAAGGUUCUAUGGAUCGUAAACCUCUUUUAUAAGGGAAUAAAGUGUGGGACGUGUCCUAUUUUGUAUGUACCUUAUGAAUAAGGAUCGGCUAACUCCGUGCCCGCAGCCGCGGUAAUACGGAGGAUCCGAGCGUUAUCCGGAUUUAUUGGGUUUAAAGGGUGCGUAGGCGGCCGUUUAAGUCAGCGGUGCAAGUCUGUGGCUAAACCAUGGAAGUGCAGUUGAAACUGGGGGGCUUGAGUAUGUUUGAGGCAGGCGGAAUGCGUGGUGUAGCGGUGAAAUGCUUAGAUAUCACGCAGAACCCCGAUUGCGAAGGCAGCCUGCCAAGCCAUGACUGACGCUGAUGCACGAAAGCGUGGGGAUCAAACAGGAUUAGAUACCCCUGUAGUC